This 447-nucleotide ribosomal RNA is filed under the name Phanaeus cambeforti. RNAcentral's name for it is "partial 16S ribosomal RNA". The record is from RNAcentral. Lineage: Eukaryota; Metazoa; Arthropoda; Insecta; Coleoptera; Scarabaeidae.
CAUGUCUUUUUGAUUAUAAUUUAAAGUCUGACCUGCCCUAUGAAUUUAAUUUAAAUGGCUGCGGUACUUUGACCGUGCAAAGGUAGCAUAAUAAUUAGUUUUUUAAUUGGGAACUGGUAUGAAAGGUCGAACGAGAAAAAGACUGUCUCAAUUUAAUUUAGAUUAGAAAUUUAUUUUUAAGUUAAAAAGCUUAAAUAAUUUUAAAAGACGAGAAGACCCUAUAGAGUUUUAUAUAAUUUAUUAUUUUUGAAAAUUAAAGAAUUGUAGGUUUAAUUAUUUUAAAUUAUAUUUGGUUGGGGCAAUUAAAAAAUUAAAUUAAUUUUUUUUUAAAUUAUAACAUUGAUAUAUGAUUAAGUGAUCCAUAUUUUAUGAUUAAAAGAUUAAAUUACCUUAGGGAUAACAGCGUAAUUUUUUUUAGAGUUCUUAUCGAAAAAAGAGUUUGCGACC